Molecule: small RNA, 400 nt
Filed under: uncultured Glomus
Lineage: Eukaryota; Fungi; Glomeromycota; Glomeromycetes; Glomerales; Glomeraceae
Description: SSU rRNA
Rfam family: Eukaryotic small subunit ribosomal RNA
Source: RNAcentral
AGCAGCCGCGGUAAUUCCAGCUCCAAUAGCGUAUAUUAAAGUUGCUGCAGUUAAAAAGCUCGUAGUUGAAUUUCGGGAUCAGUAUGUUGGUCGUGCUUCGGUACGUACUGUCAUUACUGGUUUCUACCUUCUGAAGAACCAUGAUGUCAUUAAUUUGGUGUCGUGGGGAAUCAGGACUGUUACUUUGAAAAAUUAGAGUGUUUAAAGCAGGCUCGCGCUUGAAUACAUUAGCAUGGAAUAAUGAAAUAGGACGUUUUGAUUUCUAUUUUGUUGGUUUCUAGGAUCGACGUAAUGAUUAAUAGGGAUAGUUGGGGGCAUUAGUAUUCAAUUGUCAGAGGUGAAAUUCUUGGAUUUAUUGAAGACUAACUACUGCGAAAGCAUUUGCCAAGGAUGUUUUCAU